This 1091-nucleotide ribosomal RNA is filed under the name Gordonia rubripertincta. RNAcentral's name for it is "bacterial SSU rRNA". It matches the Rfam family "Bacterial small subunit ribosomal RNA", at positions 316 to 1418 of the family's 1533-position model. The record is from RNAcentral. Lineage: Bacteria; Bacillati; Actinomycetota; Actinomycetes; Mycobacteriales; Gordoniaceae.
GGAAUGAGACACGGCCCAGAUUCUUACGGGAGGCAGCAGUGGGGAAUAUUGCACAAUGGGCGCAAGCCUGAUGCAGCGACGCCGCCUGAGGGAUGACGGCCUUCGGGUUGUAAACCUCUUUCACCAGGGACGAAGCGCAAGUGACGGUACCUGGAGAAGAAGCACCGGCCAACUACGUGCCAGCAGCCGCGGUAAUACGUAGGGUGCGAGCGUUGUCCGGAAUUACUGGGCGUAAAGAGCUCGUAGGCGGUUUGUCGCGUCGUCUGUGAAAUUCUGCAACUCAAUCGUAGGCGUGCCGGCGAUACGGGCAGACUUGAGUACUACAGGGGAGACUGGAAUUCCUGGUGUAGCGGUGAAAUGCGCAGAUAUCAGGAGGAACACCGGUGGCGAAGGCGGGUCUCUGGGUAGUAACUGACGCUGAGGAGCGAAAGCGUGGGUAGCGAACAGGAUUAGAUACCCUGGUAGUCCACGCCGUAAACGGUGGGUACUAGGUGUGGGGCUCAUUUCACGAGUUCCGUGCCGUAGCUAACGCAUUAAGUACCCCGCCUGGGGAGUACGGCCGCAAGGCUAAAACUCAAAGGAAUUGACGGGGGCCCGCACAAGCGGCGGAGCAUGUGGAUUAAUUCGAUGCAACGCGAAGAACCUUACCUGGGUUUGACAUACACCAGACGCAUGUAGAGAUACAUGUUCCCUUGUGGUUGGUGUACAGGUGGUGCAUGGCCGUCGUCAGCUCGUGUCGUGAGAUGUUGGGUUAAGUCCCGCAACGAGCGCAACCCUUGUCCUGUAUUGCCAGCGGGUUAUGCCGGGGACUUGCAGGAGACUGCCGGGGUCAACUCGGAGGAAGGUGGGGAUGACGUCAAGUCAUCAUGCCCCUUAUGUCCAGGGCUUCACACAUGCUACAAUGGCUGGUACAGAGGGCUGCGAGACCGUGAGGUGGAGCGAAUCCCUUAAAGCCAGUCUCAGUUCGGAUUGGGGUCUGCAACUCGACCCCAUGAAGUCGGAGUCGCUAGUAAUCGCAGAUCAGCAACGCUGCGGUGAAUACGUUCCCGGGCCUUGUACACACCGCCCGUCACGUCCUGAACGUCGGUAAC